This 298-nucleotide ribosomal RNA is filed under the name Teleopsis sp. n. 'gracilifemur'. RNAcentral's name for it is "partial 12S ribosomal RNA". Lineage: Eukaryota; Metazoa; Arthropoda; Insecta; Diptera; Diopsidae. The record is from RNAcentral.
GUAGUAGGUAUGUUCUUGAAACUUAAAAAAUUUGGCGGUAUUUUAGUCUAUUCAGAGGAACUUGUCCUAUAAUUGAUAACCCGCGUUGGACCUUACUUAAGUUUGUUUACAGUUUAUAUACCGUCGUUAUCAGAAUAUUUUAUAAGAAUAAUAAUUUUCAAUAAAUUUAUAAUAAAUUUUAUUUCAGAUCAAGGUGUAGCUUAUAUUUAAGUAGAGAUGAGUUACAUUAAAGGUAUUUAUAUGGGUAUUAAUAUGAAAAAUUAAUUAAAAGUGGAUUUGGAAGUAAAAUUAUAAAGAU